RNAcentral lists this ribosomal RNA (593 nucleotides) under uncultured bacterium. RNAcentral describes it as "bacterial SSU rRNA". It matches the Rfam family "Bacterial small subunit ribosomal RNA", at positions 338 to 945 of the family's 1533-position model. The record is from RNAcentral.
CCUACGGGAGGCAGCAGUGGGGAAUUUUCCGCAAUGGGCGAAAGCCUGACGGAGCAACGCCGCGUGAGGGAUGAAGGCCUCUGGGCUGUAAACCUCUUUUAUCAAGGAAGAAGAUCUGACGGUACUUGAUGAAUAAGCCACGGCUAAUUCCGUGCCAGCAGCCGCGGUAAUACGGGAGUGGCAAGCGUUAUCCGGAAUUAUUGGGCGUAAAGCGUCCGCAGGCGGUCUUGUAAGUCUGUCGUUAAAGCGUGGAGCUCAACUCCAUUUCGGCGGUGGAAACUACAAGACUAGAGUGUGGUAGGGGCAGAGGGAAUUCCCGGUGUAGCGGUGAAAUGCGUAGAUAUCGGGAAGAACACCAGUGGCGAAGGCGCUCUGCUGGGCCAUAACUGACGCUCAUGGACGAAAGCUAGGGGAGCGAAAGGGAUUAGAUACCCCUGUAGUCCUAGCCGUAAACGAUGAACACUAGGUGUCGGGGGAAUCGACCCCCUCGGUGUCGUAGCUAACGCGUUAAGUGUUCCGCCUGGGGAGUACGCACGCAAGUGUGAAACUCAAAGGAAUUGACGGNNGNGAGNGCGAGCGACGACGAGGGAGAG